UGACUGCGUACCUUUUGUAUAAUGGGUCAGCGACUUAUAUUCUGUAGCAAGGUUAACCGUAUAGGGGAGCCGGAGGGAAACCGAGUCUUAAUUGGGCGUUAAGUUGCAGGGUAUAGACCCGAAACCCGGUGAUCUAGCCAUGGGCAGGUUGAAGGUUGGGUAACACUAACUGGAGGACCGAACCGACUAAUGUUGAAAAAUUAGCGGAUGACCUGUGGCUGGGGGUGAAAGGCCAAUCAAACCGGGAGAUAGCUGGUUCUCCCCGAAAGCUAUUUAGGUAGCGCCUCGUGAAUUCAUCUCCGGGGGUAGAGCACUGUUUCGGCUAGGGGGCCAUCCCGGCUUACCAACCCGAUGCAAACUGCGAAUACCGGAGAAUGUUAUCACGGGAGACACACGGCGGGUGCUAACGUCCGUCGUGAAGAGGGAAACAACCCAGACCGCCAGCUAAGGUCCCAAAGUCAUGGUUAAGUGGGAAACGAUGUGGGAAGGCCCAGACAGCCAGGAUGUUGGCUUAGAAGCAGCCAUCAUUUAAAGAAAGCGUAAUAGCUCACUGGUCGAGUCGGCCUGCGCGGAAGAUGUAACGGGGCUAAACCAUGCACCGAAGCUGCGGCAGCGACGCUGAUGCGUUGUUGGGUAGGGGAGCGUUCUGUAAGCCUGCGAAGGUGGCCUGUGAGGGUUGCUGGAGGUAUCAGAAGUGCGAAUGCUGACAUAAGUAACGAUAAAGCGGGUGAAAAGCCCGCUCGCCGGAAGACCAAGGGUUCCUGUCCAACGUUAAUCGGGGCAGGGUGAGUCGACCCCUAAGGCGAGGCCGAAAGGCGUAGUCGAUGGGAAACGGGUUAAUAUUCCCGUACUUGGUGUUACUGCGAAGGGGGGACGGAGAAGGCUAUGUUGGCCGGGCGACGGUUGUCCCGGUUUAAGCGUGUAGGUGUGUGUUCCAGGUAAAUCCGGUUCACUUUAACACUGAGGCGUGAUGACGAGGCACUACGGUGCUGAAGCAACAAAUGCCCUGCUUCCAGGAAAAGCCUCUAAGCAUCAGGUAACAUCAAAUCGUACCCCAAACCGACACAGGUGGUCAGGUAGAGAAUACCAAGGCGCUUGAGAGAACUCGGGUGAAGGAACUAGGCAAAAUGGUGCCGUAACUUCGGGAGAAGGCACGCUGACACGUAGGUGAAGUGAUUUACUCACGGAGCUGAAGUCAGUCGAAGAUACCAGCUGGCUGCAACUGUUUAUUAAAAACACAGCACUGUGCAAACACGAAAGUGGACGUAUACGGUGUGACGCCUGCCCGGUGCCGGAAGGUUAAUUGAUGGGGUCAGCGCAAGCGAAGCUCCUGAUCGAAGCCCCGGUAAACGGCGGCCGUAACUAUAACGGUCCUAAGGUAGCGAAAUUCCUUGUCGGGUAAGUUCCGACCUGCACGAAUGGCGUAAUGAUGGCCAGGCUGUCUCCACCCGAGACUCAGUGAAAUUGAACUCGCUGUGAAGAUGCAGUGUACCCGCGGCAAGACGGAAAGACCCCGUGAACCUUUACUAUAGCUUGACACUGAACAUUGAGCCUUGAUGUGUAGGAUAGGUGGGAGGCUUUGAAGUGUGGACGCCAGUCUGCAUGGAGCCGACCUUGAAAUACCACCCUUUAAUGUUUGAUGUUCUAACGUGGACCCGUUACCCGGGUUGCGGACAGUGUCUGGUGGGUAGUUUGACUGGGGCGGUCUCCUCCUAAAGAGUAACGGAGGAGCACGAAGGUUGGCUAAUCCUGGUCGGACAUCAGGAGGUUAGUGCAAUGGCAUAAGCCAGCUUGACUGCGAGCGUGACGGCGCGAGCAGGUGCGAAAGCAGGUCAUAGUGAUCCGGUGGUUCUGAAUGGAAGGGCCAUCGCUCAACGGAUAAAAGGUACUCCGGGGAUAACAGGCUGAUACCGCCCAAGAGUUCAUAUCGACGGCGGUGUUUGGCACCUCGAUGUCGGCUCAUCACAUCCUGGGGCUGAAGUAGGUCCCAAGGGUAUGGCUGUUCGCCAUUUAAAGUGGUACGCGAGCUGGGUUUAGAACGUCGUGAGACAGUUCGGUCCCUAUCUGCCGUGGGCGCUGGAGAACUGAGGGGGGCUGCUCCUAGUACGAGAGGACCGGAGUGGACGCAUCACUGGUGUUCGGGUUGUCAUGCCAAUGGCACUGCCCGGUAGCUAAAUGCGGAAGAGAUAAGUGCUGAAAGCAUCUAAGCACGAAACUUGCCCCGAGAUGAGUUCU
RNAcentral lists this ribosomal RNA (2235 nucleotides) under Salmonella enterica subsp. enterica serovar Bovismorbificans str. Sal677. RNAcentral describes it as "bacterial LSU rRNA". It matches the Rfam family "Bacterial large subunit ribosomal RNA", at positions 594 to 2812 of the family's 2925-position model. The record is from RNAcentral. Lineage: Bacteria; Pseudomonadati; Pseudomonadota; Gammaproteobacteria; Enterobacterales; Enterobacteriaceae.